UAUUAUUUUUCAGGGUUUAAUUACACUAAGGACUUUUUUUGAAAAUAACCCUGUAGAAUUUUGUAAUUGGCAAAAUGACCCUCUGAAAAAUUUAUUUGUAAAACUAACCUCCCUUUCGCCACGUUGGCACCAGUGCGGACAUUUCUCGUAAAGACGGUGAAUCGUUCACCGCCUUUGCAUAUUUCUUGUGAAAGCGGUGAAUGGUUCACCGUCUUAUGAAGGCAGUGAACCAUUCACCGUCUUUAGAGCAAAUACACCCUCGCUUCCCUUACAAGGCCACCCUCACAAGGGCACCUUACCUGUGCGAUAAGACGGUAAAUGGUUCACCGUCUUAACUAAGAUGGUGAAUCAUUCACCGUCUCUAUGGCAACCCCCCACCCUACCAAAUUUGGCCAAGUCCUAAGGCGGGGCUAAAACACAGAUAAGAUAGUUAAUAGUUCACCGUCUUUAUAGUGAGGUUGCUAAGAGAGAUUUAUACUUGCAAUGUGGGUUGCUGUGGCACGGGGGAAGGCUCGGUGGGUCGACGGCGACCGGCGGCGGCGACGUCGGCUGGGGCGGCGGCGACUGGGGGCGGUGGCGACGGGGUGUGGCUCUUGGUUGGAGAGGGAUGGGCAGAGAAGGAGAGAGAGACAGAGAGAUAAGAGAGAGAAAGAGAGCGCGGAGGGAGGGAGAGGUGUCGAGGUCGGGGCUGGGUAUACCUAGGUAAGAUGGUGAAUUGUUCACCGUCUUCAUGAACAGAGUGAAGACGGUGAACAAUUCACCGUCUUAUCUAAGGAUACCCAUUGGCGGGUGUCUGCAAUAAAGACGAUGAAUAGUUCACUGUCUUUAGUGCAGCACAAAUA
Molecule: long non-coding RNA, 842 nt
Filed under: Ananas comosus (pineapple)
Lineage: Eukaryota; Viridiplantae; Streptophyta; Magnoliopsida; Poales; Bromeliaceae
Description: long non-coding RNA (ACOM_LNC014906)
Source: RNAcentral